UUCGCUAUCUCAGCACGUUCCGGGCCUCUAGUUCCUCCUCGCCACUUCUUCUUGUCGGACGACUCUGACAGUCGAAGCAGCAGCAACUUCGCGGCCACAGUUCUUGCCGUAGCUAUCAGACAGAUAGGUCGAGCGAUCACUUGGGGGGCCAACAGGUUGAGGGCUCACACACACAACGAUACGCCGCCGACGACGACGACGACAACUAACUAUGUGAGCGUCUACCCCGGUGAAGGUGCUCAUAUACUGGUGCACCAGCUUGGCUGGUGCCGCUAUCAUUGCUGUGUUUACCGUAUGCCCGCUUCAGCUUUACGGCCGUAUUUUCAUCGUUCAUAACAGCCACGUUACGGUGGUGCCUCGACCGCUUAGCGAGCGAACGAGUGAGUGAGUGGAGCCGCACGCGGGGCAGGACGGGACAACGAAGCGCCGGCCACCAGCAAAGAGCGCACAGAUUGUUUAGUAAGUGUGCGGCGUGCGACUGCGUCAAACGUCGAACUGAGCCGUGCGUUAUUCGUUGGUUGACGCUUCACGUUGCCGCUCAGCAGAACGACCGGCGAACAGUCGAAAACCUGACGCAGAUCGACAAAAGCAAAGAGUGGAACGGAUUUGCCCGAGACAAAGACCGAGGACCCCGCGCCGGCAAUGGUUGCGCCAAUGGCAUCAGGUCGCGCUGGUACCAGCAGAGCAGACGACUGAUCGAGAGACAGCCUGACAGGACAACGGCUCGCACCGCACACGCUUUUUUGACAGCAGCCGGCGCUUAUCGACAGUAAACUGCAGCAGCAGUAGCAGCAGCGGCAACAGCAGCAGCAGCAGCACCAGCAGCAGCAGCAGCAGCAGCAGCAGCAGGAACUGCAAGCAAGCUGGAGGAAUCCGUGGCGGCAAUGGCUGGCGAGCACAGCAGUGCAACGUGGCACCGAGGUAAUCUAGUGCUUUUACCAUAGUUAGGGUUGGCGGCUCCAAUAUCUAACAGCCGCACGAUUACCUGGCACAUCUAAUUUGCUUACGUGCGAUUGGUUCCGACGUCGGCUAACUUCAAUAGUGGACUUUCUUCGAUACAUCCUUAGAUGAUACAACUGCUACGCACGGAAACGGAAGCUCGAAGCUAGAACGGAUAGCGUUAGUUCCAAUGUGUAACACUAUGGCUGUCGCAUCUUCUAACCUAUCGUUUAAUGUCGUAUCGUGAGCGUCGUACUAUCGUCGCAUGAGUUCAACGAGUCCAUAGUAACUUAUCAUUGCAAACGUGCGAUUUCGAAUAUUUCUGAGUUCGUUAUCAUCGUACUUGUUUGUAGAAGGAAGAAUUAGAUUAUCGUGCAGUAUUUAGCGUGCCGAUGUGAACCCCGACUAUGUUCAUCUAAGAAAGGAAGAACGUGCAUGCAUUUCUGGUUAUUAUUGCUAUUCGGUCGAUGUGCCUUUUCCAUAGCAGUGACGUGCCAUUCCGAACAGGAUGAGAAGCUGACCUUUACAGCCGAAGCUUGUUGGCGUUUUUCGCAGCCCGGAUGAUGGUCGUUACAGCAUGUCUGAGGUGUUCUGAAGCCUAUGGGACCACCUCUAGUCCUGUAAUGGAAAUGUGGUACCCCUAACCCUCCACGGCGAAAAACAACGAAGAAAGAUCGACCAUAGUAAGAAGCCGAGCAGGACGAAGGAAGUGUGACUGGGAAGUUUGCAGAUUCGGAGAUUGGUGAUGUUUGGACGUGCUAGUUGUAAAAUAGCAAGUGGCCACAAAGGCCAAGGAAAGAAUCAUAGAUAAAUAUCCCAUAUUGAACAAAUCGAGAUGAGGCGGGGUCUGCUUCCUGAACUCGUGGUGCUGAGGAAUACGGAUAGCUAACUUUACCGUUGGUGAUCGUUGUGCCCAACAGGCAACAGUCAGAAAAUCAAAAGUGAGUUCAUCUAGUAUUCAUUGAGUGACAUCGGCACAUACAGUCUCGUAUAUUUCGAAGCGCUUAAUGAAACGGGUAGCAGUCUUGUUCACGUUUCGGUGACAGGACGGAUGCUGACGAAAACGUGCGACCGAUCAGUCGUUGUCCUGUUGCUACGGUCCUCCCUGCUCGGGCGUUCAUUAUCAUGUAUUCUUCUCGCAGGCCACUUUCUAUCGUCCUAUAUAAUCAAGCAACAGAGAACAUCCUAAGUUAUUUCACAUGUACGGCUAUGUAUUCGAAAACAAAUCGGCAAAAAGAUCCGCUUAUCUGCGGCACCUGGCCGUUCCUGACUGAGUGGCCUACUACUGUGAUGUGGAAUCAGACGAAGGCAAUAUCUUCAAACGGUGCGUAACGAGCUGACACUAAAGUGAAGCUUGGAUUCGUAUUGUCAUAGCAAUUACCGCUGCUUAUUCAUUUACAUUUUUUACGUGAUUUUAUGUUUUUAGAUAAAGUCGCUCGAGUGCUCAUGAUGGAUAGACGCAAGCACAUCCUCUAUACUUCGACAUUUAACGUCUGUGGUCUAACACUGAUCAAACUCUAAUUUUCGUCCUCUGAUUCCAAUUGUCCUAGUACUGUUUUCUUAUCUACAUAGGCCAGCCACAACCGACUGCCGCUGUAAAAACUGACAUUUUCUCCAUAGCGCAUUACGCCGUACCAGUUAGCAGACAUAGGUUGUGCGAUACGUGCAUACUACUUUCUGUCCAGCAACAUCCGACUUUAGCCUCGGUCACUUAUUUGGCCGCGGCGGUUUUUCGAAUGUCUAUAUAGUGCUAUUGGUAGCAGCAGUCUAUGCGAUGGUCCCAUUUUUCGAAUGGUGGGUCGUCGUCCGCCGCUUCAUCGGACGCGGUCUGGCUGGCAAGGUGUGUAACUAUUCGUCUCUCCGCUGGGAGCCCCACAGUACGAAACGUCGACGACACAGCGAGCGUAGAUUGGGUUCGAGCAUAUGUUUAUAUGUAAUUUGUGUGUCUAUGGACUGAGGAGAAGCGGGCCUGGGUCCGUCACCAUGCGGAGACCAGGACAUUCAAUCAGAACGAAUGCCCCGUCUAUCUAAACUGCAUUAAGCCUUUGAAAUUUUUUCGGCCGUCAUUCUCAGCCUCCCCUUACCCCCUCCCCAGCAUUGUCAUUGUAAUCGCUACCACUGAAAAUCAUUGGGUUCCACUUCCACCGCGUCUAUAUGCGUUUCGUUACGCGUUUCCGAAUUGACGGAUCGUUCGUGUUGCUGGCAAGUAGACGACGACGACGACGACGGCGGCGGCGACGGUAGCCACGGGUGGUCGAAAGUAAAAGAAGUCGCCAGUACUCAAUGAGCGAAUUUGUUUGGAUUGCGUAACACGACCAACGCGUUGUCUCAAGAGGGCUCUUUCUCCCAGAAAAUUGGCAGUCGGCCACCUUGACUUGGUGUGGAUGAUCCUGCUUAUGGACGAUAGUCUGCGCGGUUGAGUACCUAUGAUAAUAAGUAUUGCUUAAAAAGUAUCUAACAAUACGCAUGCCAGUGCCAAUGCGAUUUCUGAAGCUCGCGGAAUGGUCUCGCAUGUUGGCCAGUUAGGACAGAACGUAGUACGUAAUAUCUAUAUACUUCAUGGGCUUUGAGGUGCGCGGCUGAAUGUGAGGCUACUGGAUACAUUUGCCAGAUAUACACAGAAGACAAUGAUUUUCCUUAAUGGAGGCUUAAGCUUAAUAAAAAUAAAAGAAUAAGAAUCAAAGCAAUGCUGGUGACACAGGAAAUUGUUAAAGUAGACAUAAAUUAACUUUUUGUGUAGAUGUUUCCAAACUAUGUGUAGUUAGCCUUUCAAACAGGGCGCCAUGAUAGGGCCAAUUCAUCUGGUAAAGAUCUCGUAUGGCGUCUUGUACAUUGAUAUUUUACUAUUUGAUGAUGCAUUGAAAAGUCUAUUUGCUGCAUUGGUCAAUGACGGAUUCUGAAGUCUGAGACGGAACGUCUGAUCUGUAAACAUAUGAAAAACUUAAUAAUCAUACUUCACUAUGUUAUAACACUAACAACAUUAACCAAUCAAUAAAUUGUUUUUUAUUGAAGAACUUUUUAUUAGAG
RNAcentral lists this long non-coding RNA (3966 nucleotides) under Varroa destructor (honeybee mite). Its description in RNAcentral is "uncharacterized LOC111253442". Lineage: Eukaryota; Metazoa; Arthropoda; Arachnida; Mesostigmata; Varroidae. The record is from RNAcentral.